RNAcentral lists this ribosomal RNA (301 nucleotides) under uncultured bacterium. RNAcentral's name for it is "partial 16S ribosomal RNA". It matches the Rfam family "Bacterial small subunit ribosomal RNA", at positions 509 to 807 of the family's 1533-position model. The record is from RNAcentral.
CAGUCGCCGCGGUAAAACGGAGGGUGCAAGCGUUAAUCGGAAUUACUGGGCGUAAAGCGCACGCAGGCGGUUUGUUAAGUCAGAUGUGAAAUCCCCGAGCUUAACUUGGGAACUGCAUUUGAAACUGGCAAGCUAGAGUCUUGUAGAGGGGGGUAGAAUUCCAGGUGUAGCGGUGAAAUGCGUAGAGAUCUGGAGGAAUACCGGUGGCGAAGGCGGCCCCCUGGACAAAGACUGACGCUCAGGUGCGAAAGCGUGGGGAGCAAACAGGAUUAGAUACCCCAGUAGUCCCUGUCUCUUAUAC